RNAcentral lists this ribosomal RNA (419 nucleotides) under uncultured bacterium. RNAcentral's name for it is "bacterial SSU rRNA". It matches the Rfam family "Bacterial small subunit ribosomal RNA", at positions 355 to 786 of the family's 1533-position model. The record is from RNAcentral.
UGGGGAAUAUUGGGCAAUGGGCGAAAGCCUUACCCAGCAACGCCGCGUGAGGGAAGAAGGUUUUCGGAUUGUAAACCUCUGUCCUGGGGGACGAAGGGAAGUGACGGUACCCCGGGAGGAAGCCCCGGCUAACUACGUGCCAGCAGCCGCGGUAAUACGUAGGGGGCGAGCGUUGUCCGGAAUUAUUGGGCGUAAAGGGGCGCGUAGACGGCCGAGUAAGUUAUAGGUGAAAGCCCAUCUUUCAAGGAUGGAAUUGCCUGUAAUACUGCUUGGCUUGAGUGCAGGAGAGGGAAGCGGAAUUCCUAGUGUAGCGGUGAAAUGCGUAGAUAUUAGGAGGAACACCAGUGGCGAAGGCGGCUUUCUGGACUGUAACUGACGUUGAGGCGCGAAAGCGUGGGGAGCAAACAGGAUUAGAUACC